RNAcentral lists this ribosomal RNA (497 nucleotides) under uncultured bacterium. RNAcentral describes it as "partial 16S ribosomal RNA". It matches the Rfam family "Bacterial small subunit ribosomal RNA", at positions 28 to 507 of the family's 1533-position model. The record is from RNAcentral.
GAUGAACGCUGGCGGCGUGCCUAAUACAUGCAAGUCGAGCGAACAGAUGAGGAGCUUGCUCCUCUGACGUUAGCGGCGGACGGGUGAGUAACACGUGGAUAACCUACCUAUAAGACUGGGAUAACUUCGGGAAACCGGAGCUAAUACCGGAUAAUAUAUUGAACCGCAUGGUUCAAUAGUGAAAGACGGUUUUGCUGUCACUUAUAGAUGGAUCCGCGCCGCAUUAGCUAGUUGGUAAGGUAACGGCCUACCAAGGCAACGAUGCGUAGCCGACCUGAGAGGGUGAUCGGCCACACUGGAACUGAGACACGGUCCAGACUCCUACGGGAGGCAGCAGUAGGGAAUCUUCCGCAAUGGGCGAAAGCCUGACCGAGCCACGCCGCGUGAGUGAUGAAGGUCUUCGGAUCGUAAAACUCUGUUAUUAGGGAAGAACAAAUGUGUAAGUAACUAUGCACGUCUUGACGGUACCUAAUCAGAAAGCCACGGCUAACUACGUG